CUUGACCAACGUAUUUGCGAUUUUUCAUUCCGUAAACAACAUCUACCGGAUAAAAGUUCAGCGUUUACAGAUAUCCAGUCCAUGUAUGCAGUUUGAGCUGAUAGCAUGUAUGUCAUGUACAUGUACAUGUAGAGCUACACGUUCUGACGGUUCAUCAUGGAUAUUUCAAUGUGGCCGUCAUUUGAACCUCAAAUUGUUGUGUAAAACAAACAACGGGAAAGGGUUAAGCUUGAAGAUGUUAUCAUCUAGUGAACUACCAAACUAAUUUACAUUUCGUGGACAUUCACCGAAGGAACA
Molecule: long non-coding RNA, 297 nt
Organism: Mya arenaria
Lineage: Eukaryota; Metazoa; Mollusca; Bivalvia; Myida; Myidae
Exons: 3
Source: RefSeq, a predicted model, not a curated record